This 627-nucleotide ribosomal RNA is filed under the name uncultured Russulaceae. Its description in RNAcentral is "LSU rRNA". It matches the Rfam family "Eukaryotic large subunit ribosomal RNA", at positions 47 to 649 of the family's 3401-position model. Lineage: Eukaryota; Fungi; Basidiomycota; Agaricomycetes; Russulales; Russulaceae. The record is from RNAcentral.
UAAGCGGAGGAAAAGAAACUAACAAGGAUUCCCCUAGUAACUGCGAGUGAAGCGGGAAAAGCUCAAAUUUAAAAUCUGGCGGUCUUUGGCCGUNCGAGUUGUAAUUUAGAGAAGCGUCUUCCGCGCCGGACCGUGCACAAGUCUCCUGGAAUGGAGCGUCAUAGAGGGUGAGAAUCCCGUCUUUGGCACGGAUGCCCGGUGCUUCUGUGAUGCGCUCUCGAAGAGUCGAGUUGUUUGGGAAUGCAGCUCAAAAUGGGUGGUGAACUCCAUCUAAAGCUAAAUAUUGGCGAGAGACCGAUAGCGAACAAGUACCGUGAGGGAAAGAUGAAAAGCACUUUGGAAAGAGAGUGAAACAGUACGUGAAAUUGUUGAGAGGGAAACGCUUGAAGUCAGUCGCGUCGACCGAGACUCAGCCUUGCCUUGGCUUGGUGUACUUCUCGGCCCGACGGGUCAGCGUCGAUUUCGCUCCUCGGAUAAUGGCAAGGGAAAGGUGGCACCUUUACGGGUGUGUUAUAGUCUCCUGUCGCAUGCGAGGGGUGGGAUCGAGGAACUCAGCGCGCACCUUGGUGUCGGGGCUUCUGCCCACGUCACGCGCUUAGGAUGCUGGCGUAAUGGCUUUAAACGACC